Molecule: ribosomal RNA, 496 nt
Filed under: uncultured bacterium
Lineage: Bacteria
Description: partial 16S ribosomal RNA
Rfam family: Bacterial small subunit ribosomal RNA
Source: RNAcentral
GAUGAACGCUGGCGGCGUGCCUAAUACAUGCAAGUCGAGCGAACAGACGAGGAGCUUGCUCCUCUGACGUUAGCGGCGGACGGGUGAGUAACACGUGGAUAACCUACCUAUAAGACUGGGAUAACUUCGGGAAACCGGAGCUAAUACCGGAUAAUAUAUUGAACCGCAUGGCUCAAUAGUGAAAGACGGUUUUGCUGUCACUUAUAGAUGGAUCCGCGCCGCAUUAGCUAGUUGGUAAGGUAACGGCUUACCAAGGCAACGAUGCGUAGCCGACCUGAGAGGGUGAUCGGCCACACUGGAACUGAGACACGGUCCAGACUCCUACGGGAGGCAGCAGUAGGGAAUCUUCCGCAAUGGGCGAAAGCCUGACGGAGCAACGCCGCGUGAGUGAUGAAGGUCUUCGGAUCGUAAAACUCUGUUAUUAGGGAAGAACAAAUGUGUAAGUAACUAUGCACGUCUUGACGGUACCUAAUCAGAAAGCCACGGCUAACUACGU